CACCCAAAUUUUUCCUAGAGAUCACAGCCAGUGGUUGGCCCUGCUGUACCUAGACCAAAUUAUCAGGACCUGAUAUAUAGGCAUGGACCAUACCACCAGUUUCAAAAUACUCCUCAACCAUCUAUCACUGAUCACAGCUCAACUUUUGAAAAUAAGGUUCUAAAAGUACUAGAACGAUUAAAAGUCAACACCCAGACCCUUAACUCCCACACACAAUCCAUUGCUAAGCUAGAGACCCAAAUAGGUCAACUAGCAACC
Molecule: long non-coding RNA, 258 nt
Filed under: Elaeis guineensis (African oil palm)
Lineage: Eukaryota; Viridiplantae; Streptophyta; Magnoliopsida; Arecales; Arecaceae
Description: long non-coding RNA (EGUI_LNC079939)
Source: RNAcentral